Molecule: ribosomal RNA, 253 nt
Filed under: uncultured bacterium
Lineage: Bacteria
Description: partial 16S ribosomal RNA
Rfam family: Bacterial small subunit ribosomal RNA
Source: RNAcentral
GACGUAGGGCGCGAGCGUUGUCCGGAUUUAUUGGGCGUAAAGAGCUCGUAGGCGGCUCGUUGCGUCCAUCGUGAAAACUCAGGGCUUAACUCUGAGCUUGCGGUGGAUACGGGCGGGCUAGAGUUCGGUAGGGGAGACUGGAAUUCCUGGUGUAGCGGUGAAAUGCGCAGAUAUCAGGAGGAACACCGGUGGCGAAGGCGGCUCGCUGGGCCAUUCCUGACGCUGAGACGCGAAAGCUAGGGGAGCGAACAGG